RNAcentral lists this ribosomal RNA (424 nucleotides) under uncultured prokaryote. Its description in RNAcentral is "bacterial SSU rRNA". It matches the Rfam family "Bacterial small subunit ribosomal RNA", at positions 355 to 796 of the family's 1533-position model. The record is from RNAcentral.
UGGGGAAUUUUUGACAAUGGGGGAAACCCUGAUCCAGCCAUGCCGCGUGAGUGAUGACGGCCCUAGGGUUGUAAAGCUCUUUCAACGGUGAAGAUAAUGACGGUAGCCGUAGAAGAAGCACCGGCUAACUUCGUGCCAGCAGCCGCGGUAAUACGAAGGGGGCUAGCGUUGUUCGGAAUAACUGGGCGUAAAGCGCACGUAGGCGGAUUGUUUAGUGAGGGGAGAAAUCCCAGGGCUCAACCCUGGAACUGCCUUUCAUACUGGCAAUCUAGAGUUCGAGAGAGGUGAGUGGAAUUCCGAGUGUAGAGGUGAAAUUCGUAGAUAUUCGGAGGAACACCAGUGGCGAAGGCGGCUCACUGGCUCGAUACUGACGCUGAGGUGCGAAAGCGUGGGGAGCAAACAGGAUUAGAUACCCCCGUAGUCC